GAUGAACGCUGGCGGCGUGCUUAACACAUGCAAGUCGAACGGAAAGGCCCAAGCUUGCUUGGGUACUCGAGUGGCGAACGGGUGAGUAACACGUGGGUGAUCUGCCCUGCACUUCGGGAUAAGCCUGGGAAACUGGGUCUAAUACCGGAUAGGACCACUUCUUGGAUGUUGUGGUGGAAAGUUUUCUCGGUGUGGGAUGAGCUCGCGGCCUAUCAGCUUGUUGGUGGGGUAAUGGCCUACCAAGGCGUCGACGGGUAGCCGGCCUGAGAGGGUGUACGGCCACAUUGGGACUGAGAUACGGCCCAGACUCCGGCGGGAGGCAGCAGUGGGGAAUAUUGCACAAUGGGCGCAAGCCUGAUGCAGCGACGCCGCGUGGGGGAUGACGGCCUUCGGGUUGUAAACUCCUUUCGCUAGGGACGAAGCGUUUUUGUGACGGUACCUGGAGAAGAAGCACCGGCUAACUACGUG
This 468-nucleotide ribosomal RNA is filed under the name uncultured bacterium. RNAcentral's name for it is "partial 16S ribosomal RNA". It matches the Rfam family "Bacterial small subunit ribosomal RNA", at positions 28 to 507 of the family's 1533-position model. The record is from RNAcentral.